Molecule: microRNA, 21 nt
Filed under: Dictyostelium discoideum
Lineage: Eukaryota; Evosea; Eumycetozoa; Dictyosteliales; Dictyosteliaceae
Description: ddi-miR-7102
Source: miRBase by way of RNAcentral
UUGUCUUAAUUCCUUGAUAGC